AUACCUAGCACACACUAACUAGUUUUGUUCUUACGCAGGUUCGUUGACAAGAGCUAUCGAGAAAAAAAAGGAUUCCUCUGAAGAAGACGAUAAAGAAGGAACGAGUCACAUAAUCCAACCCAUUGUCAAAGAAGCUGGAAAAAUGAUAGUUAGUGCUAUGACUGGAUAGAUUUGAUUCAAGAAGAUAUAUAUCACGGAUAAUCACGAUGAAAAUGGUGAAAUGCAGUCAUAUAUAUACAGUACGUUAAUUUGGGAAUAAUUUUAAUUUUUUCUUUCAACGAAGCAAUUGUCACAAGUUGUUAAUAAAAGUUAUACUUAUCAA
Long non-coding RNA from Leptinotarsa decemlineata (Colorado potato beetle), 322 nucleotides. The record is from RefSeq and is a predicted model, not a curated record. Lineage: Eukaryota; Metazoa; Arthropoda; Insecta; Coleoptera; Chrysomelidae.